This 499-nucleotide ribosomal RNA is filed under the name uncultured Glomeromycotina. RNAcentral describes it as "partial small subunit ribosomal RNA". It matches the Rfam family "Eukaryotic small subunit ribosomal RNA", at positions 591 to 1092 of the family's 1831-position model. Lineage: Eukaryota; Fungi; Glomeromycota. The record is from RNAcentral.
CCAAUAGCGUAUAUUAAAGUUGUUGCAGUUAAAAAGCUCGUAGUUGAAUUUCGAGACCGGUCUACUGGUCGUGCUUUUGUACGUACUGGUUUUAUUGGUUUCUCCUUUCUGACGAACUAUAAUGCCAUUAAUUUGGUGUUAUGGGGAAUCAGGACUGUUACUUUGAAAAAAUUAGAGUGUUUAAAGCAGGCUCACGCUUGAAUACAUUAGCAUGGAAUAACGAAAUAGGACGUUUGAUUUUAUUUUGUUGGUUUCUAGGAUCGACGUAACGAUUAAUAGGGAUAGUUGGGGGCAUUAGUAUUCAAUUGUCAGAGGUGAAAUUCUUGGAUUUAUUGAAGACUAACUACUGCGAAAGCAUUUGCCAAGGAUGUUUUCAUUAAUCAAGAACGAAAGUUAGGGGAUCGAAGACGAUCAGAUACCGUCGUAGUCUUAACCAUAAACUAUGCCGACUAGGGAUCGGAUGAUGUUAAUUUUUUAAUGACUCAUUCGGCGCCUUACG